Long non-coding RNA from Notolabrus celidotus (New Zealand spotty), 1413 nucleotides. RefSeq lists it as uncharacterized. NCBI's taxonomy places the organism in Eukaryota, Metazoa, Chordata, Actinopteri, Labriformes, Labridae. The record is from RefSeq and is a predicted model, not a curated record. The transcript is spliced from 4 exons.
CGAGACACAGGUGGGUCUAAUUAGAGAGGAGAUGACACUUGAGGUGGGAAACACAAGGACUGACUGAAACCACAUCUUCUGGAUACCAGAAGUUGGAAGAAGCUGCUUACAAAGGAUUUCUCCUCCAAGUUGUUUAUUUGGAGCUCCAGGCCCAAACACAUGAGCGCACAAGCCUGUUUGCUGUAAUGACGUCGGAGGAUAUAAAUGUGUCUUCAUUAGCUGACACGGUGCUACAGAAGUGGUCUGAUUUCUCCUCCGCUGUCCAAAGCAAAGCUGUGAAGCCGCUGAGGAGGCACAUCCAAAGGAGAGGGGCUUCGGGACAAUCAAAGCACUGAGCACUCGAUUUAAGGAUUGUAAAUACUAGGGACGACGGACUCAGCUGGCCUGAUCCUCUCCUCUGGACUGUGUGAAAAAAUUAGCAUUUCAAUUAAUGUUUUAUGUAACAUUCAGGGUCUUUUAAUGUCAACUUAAGCCUUUGAAUUCAAUAAAACAUCAUUUGUAUGGAGUCUAGAAAUCCAGCAGCGAAGCUAGAUCGACCAUUGAUGUGACAUUUAAUCAUCAUCAUAAUUAAUGUAACAUCAGCCAGUCAACCAGUCAAUCAAUCUGUAAUUGUAGAGCACCUAUAUUUAUAACAAAUGUUUUCUCAAGACACUCUACUAGAGGUCUAGUCUUCUUAUAUGUGAGACCCAACAUUAAUCCAUCACGCGCAAAGCACUUAGCAACUUUUACUGAGUCACAAGCACAGACAUUAGUGUCUUGACAGUAGCUAAAUUACAUGGUAGAGUACAUGUAGACCUGUCUGCAGGGGUUGAUAGCCUAGCUUCCCUUCCAGCUCCCCAGAGAGUUUCUCUACAACGGGGGUUAAGUGUUAAAGACUUUUAUAUCAGUGGUGUUGCUGAAACUAUACAUUAUCAUCCCUGCGUAUAAGUUAGGGUUGAUGUAUAGUGAGUGGGUUCUUACAGUGGAUCAGAAUCCCUACAGGGUCUAAGCAGGACCCAGACCUCUCUGGUCCCAACUGUGUCUAUGCCAUUUUUUCCUCUCUCUCUGCUGGUGAUUGGUGAACCAUUAACCACCAGUCUAAAGUUUUGUGAUCUCCAAAUACGUUAAAAAAAGUAUCAAAAAUAUCCUCCAUGUUGGGUACUGUUUUAGAGUGUUAACUAACAUUUUUGCCACAGUGUCAACAGGCAGAGGUGAAGUGUGCCAGACUUCUUUCUUUCUGUUGUUGAUUUGAUUGGAUGUGUGGGAUCAGGUUUUCCCUGGCAACACUUUGCUGUUGGGACAUGAAUCACAGCUGUUAUUGGAAAAUAGAUGAACAGCUUGUAAUAUAUUUUAUGAUGCUAAAUGCCUGAGUGAUGAUGUUUUUUUCUGAUAACAAAUUUUGGAAUAAAAUAAAACAAUAACAACAAAAACAAA